UACAGAGGUCCCAAGCGUUGUUCGGAUUCAUUGGGCGUAAAGGGUGCGUAGGCGGCGCGGUAAGUCGGGUGUGAAAUCUCGGAGCUUAACUCCGAAACUGCAUUCGAUACUGCCGUGCUUGAGGACUGGAGAGGAGACUGGAAUUUACGGUGUAGCGGUGAAAUGCGUAGAUAUCUGGAGGAACACCGGUGGCGAAGGCGGCAUCCUGGACCGGCAUUGACGCUGAGGAGCGAAAGCCAGGGGAGCAAACGGG
RNAcentral lists this ribosomal RNA (253 nucleotides) under uncultured bacterium. RNAcentral describes it as "partial 16S ribosomal RNA". It matches the Rfam family "Bacterial small subunit ribosomal RNA", at positions 524 to 776 of the family's 1533-position model. The record is from RNAcentral.